This 253-nucleotide ribosomal RNA is filed under the name uncultured bacterium. RNAcentral describes it as "partial 16S ribosomal RNA". It matches the Rfam family "Bacterial small subunit ribosomal RNA", at positions 524 to 776 of the family's 1533-position model. The record is from RNAcentral.
UACGUAGGGGGCUAGCGUUGUUCGGAUUGACUGGGCGUAAAGGGCGUGUAGGCGGUUGGUCAAGUCUGAUGUGAAAGCCCGGAGCUCAGCUCCGGAAGUGCAUCGGAAACUAGCUGGCUGGAGCGCGAUAGAGGAGGGUGGAAUUCCUGGUGUAGCGGUGAAAUGCGUAGAUAUCAGGAGGAACACCGGCGGCGAAGGCGGCCCUCUGGAUCGUUGCUGACGCUGAGACGCGAAAGCGUGGGGAGCAAACAGG